GGGCCAAUGGCGCAAUGGAUAACGCGCCUGAUUACAGAUCGGGAGACUGUAGGUUCAAAUCCUACCUGGCUCG
Chiloscyllium plagiosum (whitespotted bambooshark) is the source of this 73-nucleotide non-coding RNA. Lineage: Eukaryota; Metazoa; Chordata; Chondrichthyes; Orectolobiformes; Hemiscylliidae. The record is from the annotation of a RefSeq genome assembly.